AUUGGACGCUGGCGGCAUGCCUUACACAUGCAAGUCGAACGGCAGCGCGGGAGCAAUCCUGGCGGCGAGAGGCGAACGGGUGAGUAAUAUAUCGGAACGUGCCCAGUAGUGGGGGAUAGCCCGGCGAAAGCCGGAUUAAUACCGCAUACGACCUGAGGGUGAAAGGGGGGGAUCGCAAGACCUCUCGCUAUUGGAGCGGCCGAUAUCAGAUUAGGUAGUUGGUGGGGUAAAGGCCUACCAAGCCUGCGAUCUGUAGUUGGUCUGAGAGGACGACCAGCCACACUGGGACUGAGACACGGCCCAGACUCCUACGGGAGGCAGCAGUGGGGAAUUUUGGACAAUGGGCGCAAGCCUGAUCCAGCAAUGCCGCGUGCAGGAAGAAGGCCUUCGGGUUGUAAACUGCUUUUGUCAGGGAAGAAAUCCUCUAGGCUAAUACCUUGGGGGGAUGACGGUACCUGAAGAAUAAGCACCGGCUAACUACGUGCCAGCCGCCGCCGUAA
RNAcentral lists this ribosomal RNA (500 nucleotides) under uncultured bacterium. Its description in RNAcentral is "partial 16S ribosomal RNA". It matches the Rfam family "Bacterial small subunit ribosomal RNA", at positions 29 to 523 of the family's 1533-position model. The record is from RNAcentral.